This 73-nucleotide transfer RNA is filed under the name Clostridiales bacterium. Its description in RNAcentral is "tRNA-His". It matches the Rfam family "tRNA". Rfam says of the family: Transfer RNA (tRNA) molecules are approximately 80 nucleotides in length. Their secondary structure includes four short double-helical elements and three loops (D, anti-codon, and T loops). Further hydrogen bonds mediate the characteristic L-shaped molecular structure. tRNAs have two regions of fundamental functional importance: the anti-codon, which is responsible for specific mRNA codon recognition, and the 3' end, to which the tRNAs corresponding amino acid is attached (by aminoacyl-tRNA synthetases). tRNAs cope with the degeneracy of the genetic code in two manners: having more than one tRNA (with a specific anti-codon) for a particular amino acid; and 'wobble' base-pairing, i.e. permitting non-standard base-pairing at the 3rd anti-codon position. The record is from RNAcentral. Lineage: Bacteria; Bacillati; Bacillota; Clostridia; Eubacteriales.
GUGGGUUUAGCUCAGUUGGCAGAGCGCCAGAUUGUGGUUCUGGAUGUCGUGGGUUCAAAUCCCAUAAUCCACC